This 72-nucleotide transfer RNA is filed under the name Bos taurus (domestic cattle). It matches the Rfam family "tRNA". Rfam says of the family: Transfer RNA (tRNA) molecules are approximately 80 nucleotides in length. Their secondary structure includes four short double-helical elements and three loops (D, anti-codon, and T loops). Further hydrogen bonds mediate the characteristic L-shaped molecular structure. tRNAs have two regions of fundamental functional importance: the anti-codon, which is responsible for specific mRNA codon recognition, and the 3' end, to which the tRNAs corresponding amino acid is attached (by aminoacyl-tRNA synthetases). tRNAs cope with the degeneracy of the genetic code in two manners: having more than one tRNA (with a specific anti-codon) for a particular amino acid; and 'wobble' base-pairing, i.e. permitting non-standard base-pairing at the 3rd anti-codon position. Lineage: Eukaryota; Metazoa; Chordata; Mammalia; Artiodactyla; Bovidae. RNAcentral also lists the same sequence under 3 other names. The record is from Rfam by way of RNAcentral.
UCCUGUGUAGCUCAGUCGGUAAAGCAUCUGCUGGCAAUGUGGGAAACCCAGGUUCAAUUCCUGGGUCAGGAA